This 253-nucleotide ribosomal RNA is filed under the name uncultured bacterium. Its description in RNAcentral is "partial 16S ribosomal RNA". It matches the Rfam family "Bacterial small subunit ribosomal RNA", at positions 524 to 776 of the family's 1533-position model. The record is from RNAcentral.
UACGUAGGGUGCAAGCGUUAAUCGGAAUUACUGGGCGUAAAGCGUGCGCAGGCGGUUUUGUAAGUCAGAUGUGAAAUCCCCGGGCUUAACCUGGGAACUGCGUUUGAAACUACAAGGCUAGAGUGUGGCAGAGGGGGGUGGAAUUCCACGUGUAGCAGUGAAAUGCGUAGAGAUGUGGAGGAACACCGAUGGCGAAGGCAGCCUCCUGGGCUAGUACUGACGCUCAUGCACGAAAGCGUGGGGAGCAAACAAG